This 89-nucleotide transfer RNA is filed under the name Rhodobacterales bacterium. Its description in RNAcentral is "tRNA-Ser". It matches the Rfam family "tRNA". From Rfam's summary of the family: Transfer RNA (tRNA) molecules are approximately 80 nucleotides in length. Their secondary structure includes four short double-helical elements and three loops (D, anti-codon, and T loops). The record is from RNAcentral. Lineage: Bacteria; Pseudomonadati; Pseudomonadota; Alphaproteobacteria; Rhodobacterales.
GGAGGAGUGGCAGAGUGGUUGAAUGCACCGGUCUUGAAAACCGACGUAGGUGAAAGUCUACCGUGGGUUGAAUCCCACCUCCUCCGCCA